CCAACGUGGAUGUCCUGGGAGGUCACUCUCCCCAGGCUGUGUCCAAGUGGCGUACGGGAGCACAGGGCUCUGCCCCAUGAUGUACAGUCCCUUUCCACAACGUUGGAGAUGAAGCUGGGCCUUGAGUCUGCGCCUGCAUAUUCCUAAAACUUCUCAGAGUCCUGUGGACAGUGACUGAGGAGACAAACCAUGCAGGAUACAGCG
Molecule: small nucleolar RNA, 204 nt
Filed under: Carlito syrichta (Philippine tarsier)
Lineage: Eukaryota; Metazoa; Chordata; Mammalia; Primates; Tarsiidae
Description: Small nucleolar RNA SNORA73 family (ENSTSYG00000029972.1)
Rfam family: Small nucleolar RNA SNORA73 family
About the family: U17 (SNORA73A and SNORA73B) also known as E1 belongs to the H/ACA class of small nucleolar RNAs (snoRNAs). Vertebrate U17 is intron-encoded and ranges in length from 200-230 nucleotides, longer than most snoRNAs.
Source: Rfam by way of RNAcentral